Molecule: ribosomal RNA, 265 nt
Filed under: Cercomonadida environmental sample
Lineage: Eukaryota; Cercozoa; Cercomonadida
Description: partial 18S ribosomal RNA
Rfam family: Eukaryotic small subunit ribosomal RNA (bases 79-265)
Source: RNAcentral
GACUUCUGGUUUAAUGCACCUGGCCCGCGGCCCACAAGGCCUGUGAGUGCCGGCGCGGCUACCCUUAACUGGGCGGCUGGAACUGGAUCUUUUACUUUGAAAAAAUUAGAGUGUUUAAAGCAGGCGUUUGCUCUGAAUACAUUAGCAUGGAUAAUAAUAAUCUUCUAUUUUGUUGGUUUCUAUAACUGAUAGUUGGGGGUGCUAGUUUGGCCGGUCAGAGGUGAAAUUCUUGGAUUCGGUCAAGACUAACUUAUGCGAAAGCAUU